CGGGACACGUGGUAUCCUGUCUGAAUAUGGGGGGACCAUCCUCCAAGGCUAAAUACUCCUGACUGACCGAUAGUGAACCAGUACCGUGAGGGAAAGGCGAAAAGAACCCCGGCGAGGGGAGUGAAAAAGAACCUGAAACCGUGUACGUACAAGCAGUGGGAGCACGCUUAGGCGUGUGACUGCGUACCUUUUGUAUAAUGGGUCAGCGACUUAUAUUCUGUAGCAAGGUUAACCGAAUAGGGGAGCCGAAGGGAAACCGAGUCUUAACUGGGCGUUAAGUUGCAGGGUAUAGACCCGAAACCCGGUGAUCUAGCCAUGGGCAGGUUGAAGGUUGGGUAACACUAACUGGAGGACCGAACCGACUAAUGUUGAAAAAUUAGCGGAUGACUUGUGGCUGGGGGUGAAAGGCCAAUCAAACCGGGAGAUAGCUGGUUCUCCCCGAAAGCUAUUUAGGUAGCGCCUCGUGAAUUCAUCUCCGGGGGUAG
Molecule: ribosomal RNA, 485 nt
Filed under: Escherichia coli
Lineage: Bacteria; Pseudomonadati; Pseudomonadota; Gammaproteobacteria; Enterobacterales; Enterobacteriaceae
Description: partial 23S ribosomal RNA
Rfam family: Bacterial large subunit ribosomal RNA
Source: RNAcentral